GGGCGUGUAGCUCAGCUGGUUAGAGCGCAUGGUCGACAUCCAUGAGGUCACAGGUUCGAGUCCUGUCACGCCCA
This 74-nucleotide transfer RNA is filed under the name Deltaproteobacteria bacterium. RNAcentral's name for it is "tRNA-Val". It matches the Rfam family "tRNA". From Rfam's summary of the family: Transfer RNA (tRNA) molecules are approximately 80 nucleotides in length. Their secondary structure includes four short double-helical elements and three loops (D, anti-codon, and T loops). The record is from RNAcentral. Lineage: Bacteria; Pseudomonadati; Myxococcota; Myxococcia.